RNAcentral lists this ribosomal RNA (484 nucleotides) under uncultured bacterium. RNAcentral's name for it is "partial 16S ribosomal RNA". It matches the Rfam family "Bacterial small subunit ribosomal RNA", at positions 30 to 507 of the family's 1533-position model. The record is from RNAcentral.
AUUGAACGCUGGCGGCAGGCCUAACACAUGCAAGUCGAGCGGAUGAAGGGAGCUUGCUCCUGGAUUCAGCGGCGGACGGGUGAGUAAUGCCUAGGAAUCUGCCUGGUAGUGGGGGAUAACGUCCGGAAACGGGCGCUAAUACCGCAUACGUCCUGAGGGAGAAAGUGGGGGAUCUUCGGACCUCACGCUAUCAGAUGAGCCUAGGUCGGAUUAGCUAGUUGGUGGGGUAAAGGCCUACCAAGGCGACGAUCCGUAACUGGUCUGAGAGGAUGAUCAGUCACACUUGAACUGAGACACGGUCCCGACCCCUACGGGAGGCAGGAGUGGGGAAUAUUGGACAAUGGGCGAAAGCCUGAUCCAGCCAUGCCGCGUGUGUGAAGAAGGUCUUCGGAUUGUAAAGCACUUUAAGUUGGGAGGAAGGGCAGUAAGUUAAUACCUUGCUGUUUUGACGUUACCAACAGAAUAAGCACCGGCUAACUUCGUG